Molecule: long non-coding RNA, 1569 nt
Organism: Macaca fascicularis (crab-eating macaque)
Lineage: Eukaryota; Metazoa; Chordata; Mammalia; Primates; Cercopithecidae
Source: Ensembl
AUGGACUCGAACCCCCGCCCUGGGACAGAACUCUGUGCACCAGUGGUGGCCGCAGAGGCUUGGAGAAUGGACUCGAACCCCCGCCCUGGGACAGGACUCUGUGCACCAGUGGUGGCCGCAGAGGCUUGGAGAAUGGACUCGAACCCCCGCCCUGGGACAGGACUCCGUGCACCAGUGGUGGCUGCAGAGGCUUGGAGUGUGGACUCGAACCCCCGCCCUGGGACAGGACUCUGUGCACCAGUGGUGGCCGCAGAGGCUUGGAGAGUGGACUCGAACCCCCGCCCUGGGACAGGACUCUGUGCACCAGUGGUGGCCGCAGAGGCUUGGAGUGUGGACUCGAACCCCUGCCCUGGGACAGGACUCUGUGCACCAGUGGUGGCCGCAGAGGCUUGGAGUGGUGGAUCAACCCCUGCCCUGGGACAGGACUCUGUGCACCAGUGGUGGCCGCAGAGGCUUGGAGAAUGGACUCGAACCCCCGCCCUGGGACAGGACUCCGUGCACCAGUGGUGGCCGCAGAGGCUUGGAGUGUGGACUCGAACCCCUGCCCUGGGACAGGACUCCGUGCACCAGUGGUGGCCGCAGAGGCUUGGAGUGUGGACUCGAACCCCCCCCCGGGACAGGACUCUGUGCACCAGUGGUGGCCGCAGAGGCUUGGAGAGUGGACUCGAACCCCUGCCCUGGGACAGGACUCUGUGCACCAGUGGUGGCCGCAGAGGCUUGGAGUGUGGACUCGAACCCCCGCCCUGGGACAGGACUCUGUGCACCAGUGGUGGCUGCAGAGGCUUGGAGUGUGGACUCGAACCCCCCCCCGGGACAGGACUCUGUGCACCAGUGGUGGCCGCAGAGGCUUGGAGAAUGGACUCGAACCCCCGCCCUGGGACAGGACUCCGUGCACCAGUGGUGGCCGCAGAGGCUUGGAGAAUGGACUCGAACCCCCGCCCUGGGACAGGACUCUGUGCACCAGUGGUGGCCGCAGAGGCUUGGAGAGUGGACUCGAACCCCCGCCCUGGGACAGGACUCCGUGCACCAGUGGUGGCCGCAGAGGCUUGGAGUGUGGACUCGAACCCCCGCCCUGGGACAGGACUCCGUGCACCAGUGGUGGCCGCAGAGGCUUGGAGUGUGGACUCGAACCCCCGCCCAGUGGUGGGGACAGGACUCUGUGCACCAGUGGUGGCCGCAGAGGCUUGGAGAGUGGACUCGAACCCCUGCCCUGGGACAGGACUCCGUGCACCAGUGGUGGCCGCAGAGGCUUGGAGUGUGGACUCGAACCCCCGCCCUGGGACAGGACUCCGUGCACCAGUGGUGGCCGCAGAGGCUUGGAGUGUGGACUCGAACCCCCGCCCUGGGACAGGACUCCGUGCACCAGUGGUGGCCGCAGAGGCUGGGGGGACAGACUCGCUGCCCUGCUCCUGCCCAGGGAGGGGAGCUUGGGUUUUGUGCAGUCCUUUGUUCUGGAGUCAUGUGCAGCCACCUUCUGAUGAGAAUAACGUGGACGGAUUUCAGGCAGGGAACUUCUUCCAUCUCAUCAUUAUUCCUUGUUCUGUUGGCUCUUCAAGGAGCAUUGUCUAG